GACGAACGCUGGCGGCGUGCUUAACACAUGCAAGUCGAACGGAAAGGCCCUGCUUUUGUGGGGUGCUCGAGUGGCGAACGGGUGAGUAACACGUGAGUAACCUGCCCUUGACUUUGGGAUAACUUCAGGAAACUGGGGCUAAUACCGGAUAGGAGCUCCUGCUGCAUGGUGGGGGUUGGAAAGUUUCGGCGGUUGGGGAUGGACUCGCGGCUUAUCAGCUUGUUGGUGGGGUAGUGGCUUACCAAGGCUUUGACGGGUAGCCGGCCUGAGAGGGUGACCGGCCACAUGGGGACUGAGAUACGGCCCAGACUCCUACGGGAGGCAGCAGUGGGGAAUAUUGCACAAGGGGCGGAAGCCUGAUGCAGCAACGCCGCGUGCGGGAGGACGGCCUUCGGGUUGUAAACCGCUUUCGCCUGUGACGAAGCGUGAGGGACGGGAAUGGGUAAAGAAGCACCGGCUAACUACGU
This 467-nucleotide ribosomal RNA is filed under the name uncultured bacterium. RNAcentral's name for it is "partial 16S ribosomal RNA". It matches the Rfam family "Bacterial small subunit ribosomal RNA", at positions 28 to 506 of the family's 1533-position model. The record is from RNAcentral.